RNAcentral lists this long non-coding RNA (786 nucleotides) under Homo sapiens (human). Its description in RNAcentral is "HSALNT0169419". The record is from RNAcentral. Lineage: Eukaryota; Metazoa; Chordata; Mammalia; Primates; Hominidae.
GUUCAAGAUGGGGAGGGGUUGGGGUGAGGGCUGGCCUGUCUGAGGAGGGGCAUUUGCAGUGCUGGAGCAAGCCAUGGAGGACAGGAAUUGCUCCAGUCAGAGGAACAGCAAGGACAAGGGGCCCAAGACGGCAUGUACUAGAGGCUCCACGCAUAGAAAAAGCCAGCCAUCCCCAGCGCUGUAACUGAGUGGCCAGUGGUGGGAGGUGAGGUCACAGACGCGGAGGGGGCAUACAUGGGUCUUUGUAAUAGUUAAUUUUAUGCAUCAACUUGACUGGAUCACAGUGUGCCCAGAUAUUUGAUCAAACAUUAUUCUGAGUGUUUCCGUGACAAUGUUUUUGGAUACAAUCAACAUUUAUUUAAUUGGUUGAAGACCUGAAUAGAACAAAGAGUUCAAUUCUCUCAAGUAAGAGAAUUCCUCCUGUCUGACUACUUCAGAAUUGGGACAUUGGCUUUUUCCUGCCUCUACACUACAACUACACCAUCAAGCCUUCAGACAUGGAAAGGAACCACACUAUUGGCUCUCCUCGGUCUUCAGCUUGCCAACUCAAUGCAGAUCUUUGCAUUUGUCAGCCUUAUAACCAUGUGAGCUAAUUCCCUAAAAUAAAUGUCCUCAUUUAAAUGUAUUUCCUAUUGCUGUUUCUCUAGAGAACUCUAAUACAACCCCAUACAAAAGUACACCACACUAGAAGAAUUGGGUUAAAUCGAAUUACAAAAAAAAGAAGAAGAUUAAACUCAUAUGCUCAUAAUUUGGGACUUUCAUGUUUGUAAUUAUCUGCUAAAUUCC